RNAcentral lists this ribosomal RNA (26 nucleotides) under Coleofasciculus chthonoplastes NCR. RNAcentral's name for it is "partial 23S ribosomal RNA". Lineage: Bacteria; Bacillati; Cyanobacteriota; Cyanophyceae; Coleofasciculales; Coleofasciculaceae. The record is from RNAcentral. RNAcentral also lists the same sequence under 2 other names.
GGUCAAGCUACAAAGAGCUAACGGUG